CCUACGGGAGGCAGCAGUUGGGAAUUUUGCACAAUGGACGAAAGUCUGAUGCAGCAACGCCGCGUGCGGGAUGAAGAUUUUCGGAUUGUAAACCGCUUUUAUUUGGGAGUAACUGUUUGAACGUACCAAAUGAAUAAGCACCGGCUAACUCCGUGCCAGCAGCCGCGGUAAUACGGAGGGUGCAAACGUUGUCCGGAAUUACUGGGCGUAAAGCGCAUGUAGGUGGUCUAAUAAGUGAACGAUUAAAUACCGACGCUUAACGUCGGAAAGGUUAUUCAUACUGUUAGACUCGAGGAAGACAGGGGCAGAUGGAACUUUAAGUGUAGGAGUGAUAUCCGUAGAUAUUUAAAGGAACACCAAUGGCGAAGGCAGUCUGCUGGGUCUUUUCUGACACUGAGAUGCGAAAGUGUGGGGAGCAAACGGGAUUAGAUACCCCGGUAGUCCACACUGUAAACGAUGCUCACUAGGUCUUGGAGGGUAUCGACCCCCUUUUGGACCGAAGCUAACGCGUUAAGUGAGCCGCCUGGGGAGUACGAACGCAAGUUUAAACUCAAAUGAAUUGACGG
Molecule: ribosomal RNA, 566 nt
Filed under: uncultured bacterium
Lineage: Bacteria
Description: bacterial SSU rRNA
Rfam family: Bacterial small subunit ribosomal RNA
Source: RNAcentral